Molecule: ribosomal RNA, 327 nt
Filed under: Polytomella piriformis
Lineage: Eukaryota; Viridiplantae; Chlorophyta; Chlorophyceae; Chlamydomonadales; Chlamydomonadaceae
Description: LSU rRNA
Rfam family: Bacterial large subunit ribosomal RNA (bases 1-204)
Source: RNAcentral
GUUCUUUCUAUGGACGGGUAAAAGCUACGCUAGGGAUAACAGGCUUAUACGCCCAUAGAGCAUUAUCAACGGGCGUGUUUGGCACCUCGAUGUUGGAUCAUCGCAUCCUUGAGCUGCAGAAGGUUCAAAGGGUCGGACUGUUCGUCCGAGAACGCGGUACGUGAUCUGAGUUCAAAGCGUCGUGAGACAGUUUGGUUUCUAUCUUUGUGCAUAUAUAAAAAAAGGGAUUUCAUACCGUACGAAAGGAUUGUUGUGACUAAAAUCUCUCAUAAGAAUGACAUUUAACCCACUUUUUAUAACAAUAGGUUAUUGAGCCCAAAAUUGAUA